RNAcentral lists this ribosomal RNA (292 nucleotides) under uncultured bacterium. RNAcentral's name for it is "partial 16S ribosomal RNA". It matches the Rfam family "Bacterial small subunit ribosomal RNA", at positions 505 to 796 of the family's 1533-position model. The record is from RNAcentral.
GUGCCAGCAGCCGCGGUAAUACGAAGGGGGCUAGCGUUGUUCGGAAUUACUGGGCGUAAAGGGCGCGUAGGCGGUGUGUCAAGUCAGGCGUGAAAGCCCCGGGCUCAACCUGGGAACCGCGCUUGAGACUGGCACGCUCGAGUUCGGGAGAGGAUGGUGGAAUUCCCAGUGUAGAGGUGAAAUUCGUAGAUAUUGGGAAGAACACCGAUGGCGAAGGCAGCCAUCUGGACCGACACUGACGCUGAGGCGCGAAAGCGUGGGGAGCAAACAGGAUUAGAAACCCGAGUAGUCC